RNAcentral lists this ribosomal RNA (381 nucleotides) under uncultured eukaryote. RNAcentral's name for it is "partial 18S ribosomal RNA". It matches the Rfam family "Eukaryotic small subunit ribosomal RNA", at positions 592 to 976 of the family's 1831-position model. The record is from RNAcentral.
CAAUAGCGUAUAUUAAAGCUGUUGCGGUUAAAAAGCUCGUAGUUGGAUUUCUGUCAAGGACAACUGGUCCGCCCCUCGGGUGAGCACAUAGUUUGGUCUUGGCAUCUUGUUGGAAACUGUUGCUGCACUUGGUUGUGUGGCGCAGUGUCCAGCACUUUCACUUUGAGGAAAUUGGAGUGUUUCAAGCAGGCACAUGCCUUUGGACACAGUAGCAUGGAAUAAUUAGAUUGGGCUUUUGCUCCAACUUGUCGGUUUCUGGAGCUGAGGUGAGAAUUAAUGGGGAUUGUUGGGGGCAUCCGAAUUUAGCCGUCAGAGGUGAAAUUCUUGGAUCUGCUAAAGACGGACAACUGCGAAAGCGUUUGUCCAGGAUGUUUUCAUUGA